GGCAGUGGUAGCUCGGUGGUUAGGACGUUGGACUAAUGAUCAGGAGGUCAUGAGUUCAAUCCCCAUCACCGCCA
This is a non-coding RNA of Pangasius djambal, 74 nucleotides long. The record is from the annotation of a GenBank genome assembly. Lineage: Eukaryota; Metazoa; Chordata; Actinopteri; Siluriformes; Pangasiidae.